This 247-nucleotide ribosomal RNA is filed under the name uncultured bacterium. Its description in RNAcentral is "partial 16S ribosomal RNA". It matches the Rfam family "Bacterial small subunit ribosomal RNA", at positions 523 to 769 of the family's 1533-position model. The record is from RNAcentral.
AUACGUAGGUGGCAAGCGUUAUCCGGAUUUAUUGGGCGUAAAGCGAGCGCAGGCGGUUUUUUAAGUCUGAUGUGAAUGCCCUUGGCUCAACCAAGGAAGUGCAUCGGAAACUGGAGAACUUGAGUGCAGAAGAGGACAGUGGAACUCCAUGUGUAGCGGUGAAAUGCGUAGAUAUAUGGAAGAACACCAGUGGCGAAGGCGGCUCUCUGGUCUGCAACUGACGCUGAGGCUCGAAAGCAUGGGUAGC